UACAGAGGGUGCAAGCGUUGCUCGGAAUUAUUGGGCGUAAAGGGUAGGUAGGUGGUCUUAUAUGUCUGAGGUGAAAGCCUUGAGCUUAACUCAAGAAGGGCCUUAGAAACGGUAGGACUAGAGUCUUGGAGAGGGUCGUGGAAUUCCCGGUGUAGCGGUGGAAUGCGUAGAGAUCGGGAGGAACACCAGAGGCGAAGGCGACGGCCUGGACAAGAACUGACACUGAACUACGAAAGCGUGGGUAGCAAACAGG
RNAcentral lists this ribosomal RNA (253 nucleotides) under uncultured bacterium. RNAcentral describes it as "partial 16S ribosomal RNA". It matches the Rfam family "Bacterial small subunit ribosomal RNA", at positions 524 to 776 of the family's 1533-position model. The record is from RNAcentral.